This is a long non-coding RNA of Diceros bicornis minor, 8775 nucleotides long. RefSeq lists it as uncharacterized. Lineage: Eukaryota; Metazoa; Chordata; Mammalia; Perissodactyla; Rhinocerotidae. The transcript is spliced from 3 exons. The record is from RefSeq and is a predicted model, not a curated record.
AUACUUAGAAACCACUAGCUCUUGAGAGUGUAUAUUUCAGAUUUGCAGCUCAAUUUUUUGUAAAGCAUUUGUAUUUUAUCCAGAAAGUAAGUAGGAGAGGUAAACACAUUAAUUAUGAAGACAUGAGGAUUCUUAGGCUGUGACUUCAGGAGACCUAACCGGAUUAUGGUACCAUUGCUUUUCCUAGGGCAGCUCUGAAAAAUCUUUUAGCCCUUGUAGAAACAGUAUGUGACUUUAUAGGAGGACACAGAACAUAUGUUGUUGUGUAGAUACAAAAGGAAGCUGGGAAUAGAAUAUGAAUUCUGCAGUAAGGGGAAAAAUAAAACUCUUAGCUGUUUGCCUCAGCAAUUUGCUAGAGGCCAAAUGUGUUUCAUAUUAUCUUUAUCCUUGCAAAGUUCACAAAGGCUAGUUGGUCAGACUUUGAAAUUGUCAAGUUGAUGUUCAAAGUACAAGCGUGUGGCCUCGAGUCCAGAGUUCCAUGCCCAACUUCACUGUUGUUCACAAGUUGAUUAAACACAUAUAGUCCCAUGCUUAAAUAUGAAUUCAAAGGAUAUAUUCUUCUUGUGAGCCAUUGAAACUGAACUUGGAGUUUGGGUAAUACUGCAUUUAGUGUCAGAUUGUGUCGUAAAUAAGCGUUAACUAUCUCAUUAGAGUCUUAUCACCAAGGAGAAUUCAGAAUCAUAACAAUGUGGCCAUGUUCUCUGGAUAGAUCAAGGAAAUUCCUGUACUUAUUGAGUUACAAUGAUUACUCCAAUAAAGAGUUGCAAAAAAUAAAUUCUCUGAUUUCUGUCUGUAGAACAAUCACACUCUUUACUGAAAAUACUUGUACCCAUUUUAAUCCAAUCACAGGAAGGAAGUAACAAGGGAAGUAAGCUGAGCAUUAUGAUAUUCUCCAAAAUGUUUUGUUCUGCCAUCAAAUAAUGAUGAGCCUACAUGUUUCUUCCACUCUCUCCAUUUCAGCAGUUACUUAAAUUGCAGCUCAAUACAACCCUAAACUUCACAAUAACCUAACAAAAUUCUCACAAUAUUUAAGAGCAGAGAAAAUAAAAGGACAGGGGUACAGACAGGGGUACACUCUUCUUUCCCCUUCUAUGUUCAGUCCUUUACUUUUCAGUGUCUAUUCAUGAAAAUGAAGUUGUUUUAUCUUGGCAGACAAUGGCGUAACUCCAAUGUGUCAGUUUAAUCAACAUUCUAUUAAAAUAAGUAUAUUUGGAGAAACUGGGUGGUUUAUUAUAAAUGUUUUUUCCCCAUAGCGAUGGAGCUUUUUUGAAAACGCCUUAACGUGUUUUUGGAUGUUUGGAGUGAUGUCCAGAGGAAGCAGCACCAGAAAGGGCAUGGGCUGAUACGAGAAGACAGGCUGGUAGCGGGACACAUGGAGAAUCUACUCCGCUACAGAUUAAUAGAAAACUUAGUUAUGAUAACUAUAUUACUAAAAGAUAUUUUUAAGUGAAUUUCUAAGUGUCUUCAAUACCUCACUAUUGUUUAUAUAUUUAUUAUUACUCUUUCUUUGGUGAUGGCUUUGUGCUCUCUGUUAUUUUUACUUGAAGAGCUUUAAAAAACAAGAGUGUGAAGAAAUUAAUGUAAAGAAUUGGCAAAGAGAUCUGCUGUCUUCCAGGGGCCGUAGCGUGGAGCAACAGGUGACAAUAAAGGAGAUAAGUCUGAAAUACCAGUUCAGCAGUAGACAGGCAAUGUUGGGAACUACGUGAAAUAAGCCAGCAGAUUGGAACGGAUAACAAUUAUUUGACAAUCUGUUGGCUCAGGGUUUUAUUUUCAUCUUCUUUUUAGUAUAAGAACCCCAAUAAAGGCUUCUCAUUCUCUAUCCAGAGGCUUUUGGAAUCUGAGUUGACUUCUAUAAUGACAUCUACCUUAACCUGGUGUUGCACAUAUGCUUCUUGCCAACUGAUGAAUCUUAAGUUUUCAGUUGAUAAAAUACUCACUGGUACAGCCAUUCACUUUCUCUAGGUGCUGUGGGACUGCUUCUACAGAGAGGAAGCCCCCAUUUUGUGCUAACGCAGCAGAAACCUUAGAAACCAGUUAGCCACAGUCAUUCAAUGUGCUCAGGUAAUUCAGACAGACUAGAAGCCUCACUCUUUUGAUCUUCUUUCUAUAUGCUUUGAGAAAAAAAUUACAGAUGAUGAAAAGAAGGAUGCUAAAGAAAAUAUUCCUCUUUGGUCAGUUCAAUCAAGGGCAGUCCUAAAACAGAGCUAAAAUAAAGAGGUGGCUCCCUCAUCUAGGCAUUGGCUCCUGAACAGCUGUUUGCAGUCAGCUUAUGCAACCUUGGCACUGUGCUGUGCUUGUAAUUGAAGUUCAUCUUUAUGAGAUUUCAGCAGAGCCUGGUCAAAGAGGUUGGUCAUUAAAGGCAGGAAGCACAGCAACUUUAGUAAAUAGAGAAGAAAGCAAUGCAGUUUUCUUUAGCAAGGUGUUAAGGAGACAGCUUUUGAAAUUUAUCUUAAUUUAGCCUUCGAAAGAUAUGACCUUGCUCCUACAUCUUGCUGUAGAGCUGCCUUUUGAUGUACUUGCUUUACAUACUAGGGGAGAAGACUGUGUUACCUUAAUUGAGUUUGUGUUCUAUUGCUUUCUUGUAAAUUCUAUUUUAGUAGCUUUAUAAAUUGACCAUAAAAACUCACACUAGACUGAAAUUUCAGGGACCUGGGAGAAAACUGUUUCUUUUAUUUAAAAAGACUUUUAUUUAUAAGAUUCAAGGUCACUUAAACAUUAAUUUUCUUAUUAACGCUUAGAGUUUAUUGUUUUUCCUCAGAAAUAAUAUUCUCCAACUUUCAAUAAAAGAACACAGAUCAUUAGUUGGAUAAAUAGGGAAUUUAGUGUAAAAAUCACAAAAAUCUGAUUUUAGAGACCCUGGAGAGCAAUAAUGCCUUGAGAAGCGGAGGAGUUCAGCAAUCUGCCUGGAGGUUGGGGGUUUUCAUGGGCCAGAUGAUAGAUUUGAGCACAGUUCUAGUUCAGAGGGCUUUAAGUGAAAAUUCUGGAAGUUGUUCAGCUGGGAACCAGAUGGUAUGACGAAAAGAGGGAAUCAUAUCAACCCAGGUGGGUUCCCUUUCUUUAGCUCUUUGAAUAUCUCCAUUCACCAUUGUUGUUUUUUUUUUUUUUGCCACUGUCCCAGGGCAUGAGGCUAGCGUGUGCAUUGCCUCAUUGCACCCAUUCCACCAAGUUCUAGACCUUUCCUCAGUUCAGUCUCGCUUCUUCUUUGUGGUCCUGUUUUCCCUGUCACCCUUUCCUGAUGCCCACAUAAUUGGGCAUGCAUACUGGCUGAGGUGCACAACUGAAUUUUGCUGUGGUCUGUGGUACUAGCGGUGACAAAAUGAAGACAGGAUACAUUAGAAUAAAGCACAAGUGCUCUUUCUUGCUGCUCCGGUGUCUUAGCCAGCUGUUUGCUGUUCUAUUUCCCUUUCACUUGCAAGUUCCCUCCGCACUCCACUUUCUUUUCCUGUGACUUGACCCUUAGGGUGUGAUUGUUCCAGGUGUUCCAAUUAGUACACUUAUAAGUAUGUAAGAAUUCUUAUUACAGACACACGGGGAGAUUUGACAGACAGAAGAGGAGGAGGCAAUGUGAAGAUGGAUAUAGAGAUAAGGGUAAUGUAGCCACAAGUAAGGAAGACAAGCAUUGCCGAUAGCUGCCAGAAGCUGGACAAGGCAAGGAAAUAUUCUUCCAUAGAACUUCCAGAGGGAGUGCGCCCUUGCUGACACCUUGAUUUUGGACUUGUGGCCUCCACACCUGUGAGAGAAUAAAAUUCUAUUGCUUUAAUCCAUCAAGUUUGUGAUAAUUCGUUGUAGCAUCUGUAGGAAACUAAUACAGAUUUUGGUACUGGGAAGUGGGGUGCUGCUGUAACAAAUGCCUGAAAGUGUGGAAGAGGUUUUAGAAUUAGGUAAUUGGGAGAGAGGCACAUGAUAGAAAAAGUCUGGAUUCUAGUGAAUGCUGAGAAGGAAGUGAGGAGCACGAAUGAGAAAACUUCUGUCAUCUUGGAGAAUACAAUAUAUUGUUAUGAGCAGAGUCUUGAGAGAAAUAUAAAUUUUAAAAACAUUUCUGAUGAGGGCUCAGAAGGAAAUGAGGAACACGUUAUUCUAAACUGGAGGAAAGGUGAUCCUUGUUAUCUAAGUGGGAGAAAACUUGACUGAGUUGUGUUCUACAGUUGUACAAAAAAUAGAACUUGUAAGUGAAGGACUUGGGUAUUUAGCUGAGGAGAUUUCUAAGCAAAGUGUUGAGGUCAUGGCUUGGUUUCUUUUUUCUGAUUAUAGUAAUAAAAUGCAAGACAAAAGAGAUAAAUUGAAGAAGGAACUGUUAAGGCAAAAAAAAAAAAAACCCAAUACUUGAUGAUUUGAGAAAUUUGCAGCCUAUCCAGAUUGCAAAACAUGCUAACGUUAGGAGAUUGACUGUUAGGACAGCAUGCUCUGGGAGAAGCCAAAGGUGUGGCUUGGACCACCUUUUGCUGAAGAGAUUAGAUGUAUAUAAUUCAUGGAUUCAUGCAACAAUCUCAACAGAAGCCAGGAAUAGAGAUGGAGUUCUCCAGGAAAGACCUAUGGAGGACUCUCUUGUCUAAUGACAUAAAUCCCCUUGACGUAUACAAGAGACCCACCAGGUUUGUGAGAAUGUUAUAUUAGCUGAUACAUUGCCAGCCUGAACUGAAAAGGACAGAGUCAGGAUAAAAUAAAGGAAAGCUGUUGGAUUUUCUGUCUAUAGGCAGGAAACAGGUUGGUAGAGCUACUUGCCUGCAAACAUGUGCUACACUUUAAGAAAAAGGAGGAUGACUCCAAGGGCAGAGCUGUGAUCCUAGAGGCUGAUACCACAGGCCCAGAGGCCUAACAAGCUGCCAUACAGGCCUACUGAGAACCUGUGGGCCCAAAGGGCAGAGCUGCAGGUCCACGUGGAGCCUAAGAUCACAGGGGAUUAUUCUCAGGACUUGAAACCUCAUGGAAAUUCCUCUGCUGCAUUUCAAACUUUCUUGGGACAGGUAACCCUUUAUUCUGUUAAAAAACAAAAUUCAACUGAGUAAACUGGAAGAUCUAAUUGGCUUCAUUCAACAAUUCAUAAAUUUGGCAGCAUCCCAUCUAGCAAAUAGAAAGGAGCUCCAAGGAACUGUACAAAUGGAAGACUUUUAUAGGCAGAAGGAGGCAAGGCAAGGAAUCUAGCAAAGUAGAUUGUUUCAGGUCAGGUCACUUUUCUUUGGGGGAAGGCAGGGGUCUAUCAGGCAGAUGACCUCACUAGUACUGGCCAGGAAAUUCGAGACUGACUGGUUAACAUUACAUUCCCGAAAGAGGCUGAAACUGCAAUUAGGUUAGGUAUGAUGUCUCAGUUUGGUGAUGUGGGCUUAGCACAAGUGACUCCAUUUUGGGCCUAUUGUCUCUUUUUUAACAAUUCCUUCCAAUUUCUCCCUUUUAGAAUGGAAAUGUCUAAAACUGUUAUCCUCUGCCUUUUCUAUCAUUGUAUUUUGAGAGCAGAUAACUUGCUUUUAAGUUUCACAGGUCCACAGAUGAAGAAGGAUUUUGCCCCAGGAUGAAUCAUACCUAAAGUCUCUCCCAUACCUGAUUUAGAUCAUGAGAUUUUGGACUUUUGAGCUGAUUAUAUUUAGAUGAGAUUUUGUACUUAUAGUUGGUGCUGUAUAGGUUGUUAUUUUGGGAAUGUUAGGAUGGGUUGAAUGCAUUUUUUUGCAUGAGACAGACAUGAAUUUCAGGGGGCCAGAGGGUAGACUGUAGUGGUUUGAGUUCUGGUCUCUCAAAAGAUAUGUUCACAUCCAAAUCCCUUGGACCUGUGAAUAUUACCUUAUUUGGAAAUAGAGUCUUUGAAGGAUCUUGAGAUGAGAUCAUACUGGAUUAGCCAGGUGGGCCCUAAAGCCAACGACAAGAGUCUUUAUAAGAGACAGAAGAGAAGACACACAUGGAGGAGAAGGCACUGUGAAGACAGAAGCAGAGUUUGGAGUGAUAUGGCCAGAAGCCAAGGAAUGCCAUCAUCCACCAGACGCUGGAAGCAUCAAGGAAGGAUUCUCCCUGAAAGCCUCCAGAGGUAGAGUGGCUGACACCUUAAUUUUGGACUUCUCGUCUUCAAAACCGUGAGAGAACAAAUUUCUGUUGUUUUAAGCCUCCAUAUUUGUGGUAAUUUGUUAUGGCCUCCCUAAGAAACUAAUAGUGUAUCACCUUCAACCUCUUUCUUUCUCUGAGGAACUGAAGCUUUCUUGGUCAUGGCGCCACUUUACAUCUUUGGAUUAUGGUGACAACCAAGCUAGCUUCUUGGCCUCUCCUCCAAGUCGGCCACCCUCACCUGGCAUUCCCAGAGGAGCUAAUUCCCUGUAGAAGGGCUGACCUUUCUCUGCCUCUCUAGCCCCUGUCAAUUCCCAGGUCAUUGGAGCACAUCCUUGGUAGCUUCUACUUCUUUCACUUUUUUUCUUCUUCUCAAAAAUCACCCCCGUUUAGCACAGCACCCACUCCCCCUCUUUAGCCUCAUUCCUGUCAUCCGGUCACAGGGCUGCCACUGUUCCUCUCCCUGCACUCUGCAGCCCAUUCCUCUUGGUAACGCAACCCUGCGGGAAUCCAAAUGCACAUUUGCAUUUUAAUGGAAAUAUAAUUGACUUCUACCGAACACUUAAAUAAGUAAGACUUCACAUUUACAUUUUAAUCCAGACACUUUAUAGCCCUAUUUCCCCUAAUUUUUGGGGAAACAGAUCUUCUCUGACAGAUAACAAUUGUAGCUAUCCUUCUCUGAGCAUCUCCUCUGUGGUGGCAGUCACUUCAUAGAUAUCAUAGCGUUUAAUCCUCAUGGUAGUCUUUAUUUCAUCCCCAGUUUGCAGACUAGGACCAAAGACAUAGAGACGCGAGGUGACCCGAACACACUUACAUGGCUUAGAGAACCACAGUAUAGACUGAGGGACCUAAGAUUUUUCUUAUCUUCUUAUGUUUUAGAUUUUACAUUCUCUACAUUAAAGCCUGUCACAUAUAGAAUUUUUUAAACCGAUUUUCUCUCAUUUUGGACCAUUACUGUAUCAAUGGCACAAAUAACAAUAACUCAUAGUUGACUUUAUUGAGCACUUACUGCUGUCCAGAGUGCUAGACUCCUCAUAUUCAUUAUCAUGGAUGAUCUUUACAUAACCUUAUUAUAUCCUGAUCACAGAUGAAGAAACUAAAUCUUAGGUUAAAUAUCUUACCCAAAAUCACACGACUAAUUUGAUGUAGGACAUGUAUUUGAAUACAGAUAUGUCUAAAUACGGAGACUGUGUUCUUAACUUCUUAAGAUAAGUCAAGAACUUCAAAGAUGAAUACAGUGUCUUAUUACACAUAAGAUCUCAAGUUAUAGCAGAAUAACAUAACUUUGUAGUAAAUUGUUAUGCUCAAUAGGGGCUUUCUGGUUACAUACCAUGUUAAUCAUUGCUGAUCAAAAUAAAUGUCAGAAUAUUACUUAUGUAUCAUAAGCUUCUGAAAGUCAUUUGAAGGAGCUUUCAAUUAAAAGGUAAAAAGCCUAAAUCCAAACUCCUGAAACAUGAUUUAUAAGAAAUGAGCCAAAAAUUUUGAAGCACAAAUGGAAAAGAGAAUGUCACAGUUAUGGAGAAGCUUGGUCGAAUAGUCAUCACUUAGACAUGUGCAAAUGUGAAGUGUUCUUGUUUGAAACUCUCCAAGAACUGUACUUGGCCUUGAAUCACCUAGUCUUGAAGAAGACAGCUUAUGUGUUUUUUCAUUCCAGUUUAAAUAUCAGCCCAAUUCUGUGAUCUUUUUUUUUUUUCUUUUGUAGCCAAAUCUUAGCCACUUCUCAAUUUAUAAGAUCAGUGUCAACUUCAACAUAGUCUAGGUGGAUAUAAGGGAGAGUUUCUCGAAGGCAUAAAUCUGCAAGAUUCAAGCUUACUUUCUAACACUGGGCCUGCUUUCCCAUCUCUGCCCUAGACUGGUGAUGGGACUAUGUGACUAAUCUGUCACCAUGUGUUGGGGAAGAUCAGAGAUGUGAGGGGAUGUGCCCAAGGCCACACAGUUGGAUGGCAGAACAUUGGCAACUCUCAGAUCACUACUCAUGUUGAUGGCCUCAGACUCCGGUGGUGGCGCCAUGUGGGUCUCAGUUCCCCUUUAUCUGCAUCUUGUAGGAUGCCAGCAAGACACUUCACUGAUGCAGCAAGGUCUCUGAAUAUGAUCCCCCGCACAUGUGUACCUAGCUACCUAUCUCAACACCACUUCGCUUUUACAAAAGACCUGCAUUAGUAUGCAUUUUCACUAACCGAAAGGAAUCUGUAGAGGAUUUUUGCUUUUAUGAAAAAAGGUGAAAAGAGAAAAUAGCCUUCAGCAUUUGUUUUGCAACAGGCUGUUACAGAGGCUAAGCAGUCAAGCACACUGUCAUAUUUCAAGCUUUCCACAUCAGCCAUAGCAAAUGACAAACCUUCGAUAUUGAGGCGGGCAGACACAGAAGAAGGUGAAGAUGUUAGUGACCUGCCUGGCCUGGUGAAUUCAGAUGGCCAUGAGAUGUUAAUAGAUGACGCUCUUCAUCUCUCUCCUAUGCCCCAGUCUCCUGUACCUCCCACCACCCCAUCCUCCAACAACUCAGCCCAACACCCCAUUGUCACUGCCACCACCAUCUCUCAGCUUUCCAGUGUGCUCGCUGUCUUCCUGAUUCUGGUAAGUGAAACUACACUGUACAUACAUUAUUUCUACUUUAUGUAGGCUGUGUAUUUAUCAUAGCAUUCCUGCUUUUACUAUAUGUUAGUGUUAUUUUAGUUUUUGUGUGUUAUUUGGUAGGUUAUUUUUCAGAUUUGGGCAUGCUCAAAAUUUUUUCCCAUAUAAAUUAAUAGUAAC